UCCAUCACACGGAGGUUUCUCCCUGAAGUCUCUGCAGCUCUCUGGACAACACGCUGUCUCAAUCCGUCCACACUCAUUCACAAACUUAAGUCCAUGGUCC
Molecule: long non-coding RNA, 100 nt
Organism: Notothenia coriiceps (black rockcod)
Lineage: Eukaryota; Metazoa; Chordata; Actinopteri; Perciformes; Nototheniidae
Exons: 5
Source: RefSeq, a predicted model, not a curated record